Bombus huntii is the source of this 470-nucleotide long non-coding RNA. RefSeq lists it as uncharacterized. NCBI's taxonomy places the organism in Eukaryota, Metazoa, Arthropoda, Insecta, Hymenoptera, Apidae. The transcript is spliced from 2 exons. The record is from RefSeq and is a predicted model, not a curated record.
UAUUUCAAGUUUAAAGAUUUGUUUUUCAUGUUCUUAAACUUUUUAAAUAAUCAACGUUAUAUUUUUAAAAAGAAAUUAUAAUAUACCACGCAUUGUAACAGGUAGAUUUUUUACAUCCUCCGUUUCCACCAUGGACUUCGAUGGUUCCUGCUUGGUGACCAUCUUCGUGAUAAUUUUCUCCGGGCUAGUGCAUCACCGAUGGUAACGUUCAUCGCAUCUAAUCAUUUAAGCUUCUCCGUGUUAAUAGUCAGGACCUCGCUCACGUGCCAAGGUGCUACUUGGGUGGGAGAAAGGUCAUAAGCACGAUGACUUUAUAACUCAACAAUUUUUCAGCGACUGACAACGUGUUAGCGUAUCAUGCACGACGUAUUGUUCACAUUGUAUAUGCGUGUGGUUAGGCUGUUGAAUUACGUUGAUUUUUCUUUUACUGUAUUCAGAAUAAUUUUGAAUAUACAUAUGAGAAACAUAUA